GAGCGGAUGACGGGAGCUUGCUCCUUGAUUCAGCGGCGGACGGGUGAGUAAUGCCUAGGAAUCUGCCUGGUAGUGGGGGACAACGUUUCGAAAGGAACGCUAAUACCGCAUACGUCCUACGGGAGAAAGCAGGGGACCUUUGGGCCUUGCGCUAUCAGAUGAGCCUAGGUCGGAUUAGCUAGUUGGUGGGGUAAUGGCUCACCAAGGCGACGAUCCGUAACUGGUCUGAGAGGAUGAUCAGUCACACUGGAACUGAGACACGGUCCAGACUCCUACGGGGCAGCAGUGGGGAAUAUUGGACAAUGGGCGAAAGCCUGAUCCAGCCAUGCCGCGUGUGUGAAGAAGGUCUUCGGAUUGUAAAGCACUUUAAGUUGGGAGGAAGGGCAGUAAGUUAAUACCUUGCUGUUUUGACGUUACCGACAGAAUAAGCACCGGCUAACUCUGUG
Molecule: ribosomal RNA, 446 nt
Filed under: uncultured bacterium
Lineage: Bacteria
Description: bacterial SSU rRNA
Rfam family: Bacterial small subunit ribosomal RNA
Source: RNAcentral